This 495-nucleotide ribosomal RNA is filed under the name uncultured bacterium. RNAcentral describes it as "partial 16S ribosomal RNA". It matches the Rfam family "Bacterial small subunit ribosomal RNA", at positions 28 to 507 of the family's 1533-position model. The record is from RNAcentral.
GAUGAACGCUGGCGGCGUGCCUAAUACAUGCAAGUAGAACGCUGAAGGAGGAGCUUGCUCUUCUGGAUGAGUUGCGAACGGGUGAGUAACGCGUAGGUAACCUGCCUGGUAGCGGGGGAUAACUAUUGGAAACGAUAGCUAAUACCGCAUGACAACAGUUGUGGCAUGAUAACUGUUUAAAAGGGGCAACUGCUCCACUACCAGAUGGACCUGCGUUGUAUUAGCUAGUUGGUGAGGUAACGGCUCACCAAGGCGACGAUACAUAGCCGACCUGAGAGGGUGAUCGGCUACACUGGGACUGAGACACGGCCCAGACUCCUACGGGAGGCAGCAGUAGGGAAUCUUCGGCAAUGGACGGAAGUCUGACCGAGCAACGCCGCGUGAGUGAAGAAGGUUUUCGGAUCGUAAAGCUCUGUUGUAAGAGAAGAACGAGUGUGAGAGUGGAAAGUUCACACUGUGACGGUAUCUUACCAGAAAGGGACGGCUAACUACGUG